CGUGUAGGCGGCUUUGCAAGUCGGGUGUGAAAGCCCUCAGCUCAACUGAGGAAGUGCGCCCGAAACUGCAGAGCUUGAGUGCCGGAGAGGGUGGCGGAAUUCCCCAAGUAGAGGUGAAAUUCGUAGACAUGGGGAGGAACACCGGUGGCGAAGGCGGCCACCUGGACGGUAACUGACGCUGAGACGCGAAAGCGUGGGGAGCAAACA
Molecule: ribosomal RNA, 207 nt
Filed under: uncultured bacterium
Lineage: Bacteria
Description: partial 16S ribosomal RNA
Rfam family: Bacterial small subunit ribosomal RNA
Source: RNAcentral